This 755-nucleotide long non-coding RNA is filed under the name Drosophila guanche. Lineage: Eukaryota; Metazoa; Arthropoda; Insecta; Diptera; Drosophilidae. The record is from RNAcentral.
CAGCACUACAAGGCCUGAGAAUUACAGAACUCCCAUAGGGAAAUCACAGACGAUGAGAAGUAGUAACAAACCAAAUAGAAACGGAUGCAUAGCAAGCAUUAAUGAGAGAGACAGAGGACAAGCGAAUGGGGAAAAAAGAGCGAAUUUAGCAGCAACUAGAAGAUGCCCGGAGCUUCCCUGGUCAAUUCUUAAAAAAAAACACAAUUUUGUAGUACUUUUAACUACAGAAAAGAGCGUGCAGCUAGUAGAGCAAAUUGAAGUUUCGUUUGAGGAGUGACAGAGAGGAGUGUGACAUCUUUUGGAGUUUGUGAAGCAGCGUUUUUGAAGCACAAACCAUUCAAGUCACACAACAUACACUUUAUAGCACACUUUUCUAACCAAAUAUUUAUACAACAAGAAAAACGAGAAGGGACGUGUGAGACGCUUUUUACGCGUCACAACUUUUAUACCCGGCACUCAGGACUACAUCUAGAUGUAGAAGACAUCGCCAACCACUAGAUAUCGUUCACAUUACAGAACACGUAGUAAAAAGACUACUAAAUAAAAUGCAUCAAAAAAAUUGGAUCAGUUAAUCGUAUUUUCCAAUUUGUGAGAUAUUUAAAACAGAAAUGAAAUUGGUACUUUUUCCCUGCACAUUCUGUGCAAUAAUGACCGCUAGGUUUCAUAGCAGAUUUUUCGAAAGUGGCGCCAUGAAAAUUUCUUAUACGCAACUUUGAUGGUCACUCUUUUUCUAAUACAGAGCGUUAAAAACCGAG